This is a long non-coding RNA of Hemicordylus capensis (graceful crag lizard), 469 nucleotides long. RefSeq lists it as uncharacterized. NCBI's taxonomy places the organism in Eukaryota, Metazoa, Chordata, Lepidosauria, Squamata, Cordylidae. The record is from RefSeq and is a predicted model, not a curated record. The transcript has 3 exons.
CGCUGGCGGGCGGCCAUUCCCCAGAAGUAUCUGCACCCUGGCUCUGUCUUGACAGAAGCUUUAGUCCUUGAACACCAGAAUCCUGUGCAGUUUCCUUUGGGCAUUUGAUAUUUUUCAGCAAGAUUUUGGUUGCUACUACACCUCUGAUUAAAUGGCACUCUUGCCCCUGGACUUCGGGGCUGACCUAAAGGAAGGUGUUUCCAGGCUGUAAAAAUAAAUCUACUUGAAGAAAGAGGAGGGAAUAAACAUCCAUGGAUGACUCCUCAGAAGUGGGAGGUGCAGAGUGAUGGUGAAGUGAAGAAGGCAGAAAGGUGCUUCUCUAAGAAACUGACAGCAGAGCUGAAGUGGGAGGAAACCAUCUAAAUGUGGAAAAAUUCUAAGUUUUGUUUUGAUGAUUUAUCAGAACACUUCUGUUUGUCUUUAGCAGCAUACAUGUACAUUGUUAAAACUAUGUUGCUUCUGCAUUAAA